GUACUCACUUCGGCAGCACAUAUACUAAAACUGGAACAAUACAGAGAAGAUUAGCAGGGCCCCUGCACAAGGAUGAAAAGAGUCAUCCUGUAAAACAAGUUGCCUUA
Molecule: small nuclear RNA, 107 nt
Filed under: Chinchilla lanigera (long-tailed chinchilla)
Lineage: Eukaryota; Metazoa; Chordata; Mammalia; Rodentia; Chinchillidae
Source: RNAcentral